CCGCUGCCCGCUCCAGAUGUGCUGAUAUGGCUCAGUUGGUAGAGCGCACCCUUGGUAAGGGUGAGGUCCCCAGUUC
RNAcentral lists this transfer RNA (76 nucleotides) under Pantoea sp. Sc1. RNAcentral describes it as "tRNA-Thr". The stretch from base 21 to 76 matches the Rfam family "tRNA", at positions 1 to 54 of the family's 71-position model. Rfam says of the family: Transfer RNA (tRNA) molecules are approximately 80 nucleotides in length. The record is from RNAcentral. Lineage: Bacteria; Pseudomonadati; Pseudomonadota; Gammaproteobacteria; Enterobacterales; Erwiniaceae.